GAAAAAUACAGGGGAGCCAUGUAAACAAUACAGAGAAGAAAGAGCUAAAACCCCAACGGCUCUAUACCCGAGCUAAAAUUAAUGCUUCCAACAGUAUCUUUGCAUCAGCUUAACAAUUAUAGAGCAGUGGCUACAAACCUUGAUUGAGAUAACAAAGUGACCACCAGCUUUCAAGAAGUAUGAUGCAUUCAGAGCUAAAAUUCUUGCCUGUGAACAACAAAAUUUAUUUAAACAGUGCAAUAUAGUUCAUACACAACUGUA
RNAcentral lists this unclassified non-coding RNA (261 nucleotides) under Hevea brasiliensis (rubber tree). Lineage: Eukaryota; Viridiplantae; Streptophyta; Magnoliopsida; Malpighiales; Euphorbiaceae. The record is from RNAcentral.